GGGGAUGUUUUGGUUUCGACAGCAAAUUGUAUCGGAACGUAAGCAUGCCGAGCGUUGUGAGUCAGGCUCGUUAAUCCCAACUCUCAAGCCGUAAUUGGCGAAACUUCUUAUGCACUCGCUGCGUAGUCUGCUAAGCAUACUACCUUAAUCCCGCCGGACAAGGUUUCCGGUGCGACGAGUAUCCCGCUUCGCUGUUCUGCCCUUUAAUAGCGAAGUAUAUGGGGUAUCAUCCAUUCAGGGCUGGUUGUGCCGACGCCGCUACCGCACAAUAAGACUUCAGCGGAUAAGAAACAGGUAGGUUGCUUUUGUCCGGUCUGUUUACGAAAAUCAAUCAAAAGAUAAGCAUGUAGAAAGCGUUUGGAUGGUUUGUUUGGACACGGGUUCGAAUCCCGUCAUCUCCACUA
RNAcentral lists this transfer-messenger RNA (404 nucleotides) under Prevotellaceae bacterium. It matches the Rfam family "transfer-messenger RNA". From Rfam's summary of the family: Bacterial tmRNA, also known as 10Sa RNA or SsrA, is named for its dual tRNA and mRNA-like properties. Its role is to liberate the mRNA from a stalled ribosome. To accomplish this part of the tmRNA is used as a reading frame that ends in a translation stop signal. The record is from RNAcentral. Lineage: Bacteria; Pseudomonadati; Bacteroidota; Bacteroidia; Bacteroidales; Prevotellaceae.